CUCCCUGUAACCAAGGGAGACUGCGUUACCGCCGUUAGCCGUAAAGCGAUUGUCGCAAAAGCCGGGCACGCUCAGUGCGCUCCUCUAAGGUCGGAGAGGCAGUUUUUAACGGAAAUCAAGCCGUUUACGCUGAGCAGGGCCUGGCUGGGCUCGGUUCUCCGCCAUUCCUGCCUUCGUAGCCGCUGGGUGGCACUCAAGCUCCACAGCACGGCCUAUGGCACCACGUCGGGAACUCACUGCGCAGGCGCAAACUAGGCCCUAAAGCCUCGUUGUCUCGUUGCUAUGGUUACCACAACCCGGAAGUGGCCCGAGCUGGGCGCCAUGGCCUGAAUUGGGGCCUGCCGCCCCCUGAGGCCGCACGGCCGCUAUGGCCCGAGGGGGUGGAGAGGCGGCCAAGGAGGGGGAGCUGGGAGAUGACAGCUUGUCUGUGAUAACCUGUGAAUCAGAUGCAGAAAUGAAAUUAAAGAAGAAAAUUUUUCACAAGCCUCCGAAGUCACCAAGUAAGAGCUCAAAAAUCUUCUGUUUCCAUUGUGCAUAACAGGAUAGAUUUCUCUGUGGCACAGGAGGUAGAUUUAUGUGAAACAUCAUCUUUAUUCUGACUGGAAUUGUUCAUUGUGUGUGCAGAGUGCCUCUGGUUGACAUUUGUAUUCUGUAAGCUGGGAAGUUAGACUUUGAUAGGCUAAAUGUUCGAGUUCAUAGUUUAGUUAUGGUUCUUGAUUUUCCAGCAAGGGGAAAAACCAUUUUUAUAUUUCAAAGAAAACAAUCUCAGUUGUUGUUGCUGAUUGUUGUUACUUUGUGUUGUUUGUAGUAAAAGAAAUCACAUUGCACUUCAAAUUUUUGCUCUAGGGUGAGGGGGAGACACACCCUUCUGAUUGGAGCACAUCUUCUUCCUUUGCCUGGAAUCUCUAAAUGAUGGAAUUAAAACAGUUCCUUAACUUUAACCAUGAUUUUUAGUUUAACCGCUUCUUCCUUCUCUUCUUAAUUUGAAGACUAACUUGCUAGCCAAUAUAGUGCACAUCUAAACUCAGCUUUAAAUCAUUAGUGAUUUUCAGUAUUUAUACCUAACUACAAUACCUGGAGUAGAGAUAGGAGGGGAUCUCCAGCAGUUGUGUCAGACCAAUUCUGUUCUUUGAUUACUGCUAGGAAGUUGCCAGUGGUUUAACAGCUAUAGAUAAACUUCUCUAGGUUUAUCCAUAUGUGUUCCUCUCAUAUGAAGGACAUUUCUGUAUGUAAAAUGAAUGGAUAUAUAUAUACAAGUGUGUUAAAGAUAAGUAUCCAAGCUGGACAUGUAAGUACUUCUGCUUAUGUUGAGUGAUAUAACUGUUAUUGUGUUACUCGGCCUCUUUCUUUUAUGUCUGGGAACCUAGAAACACAAAACAGAUUUUUUGUGAUCUUGAGCUUUUCCAGGCAAUGCUGAGAUAUUUUCUUUUGUUUUAGAGUCUCCAUACAGUUCUAGUACACAACUGUAUCCUAAGAAAGCUGCAGUUUGGAGAUCCCUGCAGGGAACAGGCAAUG
This 1515-nucleotide long non-coding RNA is filed under the name Coturnix japonica (Japanese quail). RNAcentral's name for it is "lncRNA (ENSCJPG00005014209.1)". The record is from RNAcentral. Lineage: Eukaryota; Metazoa; Chordata; Aves; Galliformes; Phasianidae.